UUCGGGGGACAGGGUGACAGGUGGUGCAUGGUUGUCGUCAGCUCGUGUCGUGAGAUGUUGGGUUAAGUCCCGCAACGAGCGCAACCCUCGACCUUAGUUGCCAGCAUUCAGUUGGGCACUCUAAGGUGACUGCCGGCUAAAAGUCGGAGGAAGGUGGGGAUGACGUCAAAUCAUCAUGCCCCUUAUGACCUGGGCUACACACGUGCUACAAUGGGCGGUACAAAGGGUCGCGAACCCGCGAGGGGGAGCCAAUCCCAAAAAGCCGCUCUCAGUUCGGAUUGCAGGCUGCAACUCGCCUACAUGAAGCCGGAAUCGCUAGUAAUCGCGGAUCAGCAUGCCGCGGUGAAUACGUUCCCGGGCCUU
RNAcentral lists this ribosomal RNA (363 nucleotides) under uncultured Anoxybacillus sp. RNAcentral describes it as "bacterial SSU rRNA". It matches the Rfam family "Bacterial small subunit ribosomal RNA", at positions 1018 to 1382 of the family's 1533-position model. Lineage: Bacteria; Bacillati; Bacillota; Bacilli; Caryophanales; Anoxybacillaceae. The record is from RNAcentral.